AGAGUUUGAUCCUGGCUCAAGAUGAACGCUAGCGACAGGCUUAACACAUGCAAGUCGAGGGGCAGCAUGUCCAGCAAUGGAUGAUGGCGACCGGCGGAAGGGUGCGUAACGCGUGAGCAACAUGCCCUAUACAGGGAGAUACACCAGGGAAACUUGGUCUAAUAUCCCAUAGCAUUCAUUGAAGGCAUCUUUAAUGAAUUAAAGCUUCGGUGGUAUAGGAUUGGCUCGCGUGACAUUAGCCAGAUGGUGAGGUAACGGCUCACCAUAGCAAUGAUGUCUAGGGGUUUUGAGAGGAAGGCCCCCCACACUGGGACUGAGACACGGCCCAGGCUCCUACGGGAGGCAGCAGUGAGGAAUAUUGGACAAUGGAUGGAAAUCUGAUCCAGCCAUGCCGCGUGCAGGAAGACGGCCUUAUGGGUUGUAAACUGCUUUUAUACGGGAGCAAUAAGGGUUACGAGUAAUCCGAUGAGAGUACUGUAUGAAUAAGGAUCGGCUAACUCCGUGCCAGCAGCCGCGGUAAUACGGAGGAUCCGAGCGUUAUCCGGAUUUAUUGGGUUUAAAGGGUACGUAGGCGGAAAUGUAAGUCAGUGGUGAAAUCCUGCAGCUUAACUGUAGAAUAGCCGUUGAAACUGUGUUUCUUGAGUACAUUUGAGGUAGGCGGAAUGUGGUGUGUAGCGGUGAAAUGCAUAGAUAUACCACAGAACACCGAUUGCGAAGGCAGCUUACUAAACUGUCACUGACGCUGAUGCACGAAAGCGUGGGUAUCAAACAGGAUUAGAUACCCUGGUAGUCCACGCUGUAAACGAUGAUUACUGGUUGUGUGCGAUACACUGCAAGUGACUGAGCGAAAGCAUUAAGUAAUCCACCUGGGGAGUACGUCGGCAACGAUGAAACUCAAAGGAAUAGACGGGGGCCCGCACAAGCGGUGGAGUAUGUGGUUUAAUUUGAUGCAACGCGAAGAACCUUACCUGGUCUUGACAUCCCGGGAAUUCCUAGGAAACUAGGAAGUGCCUUCAUCCGAAGGAACCUGGAGACAGGUGCUGCAUGGCUGUCGUCAGCUCGUGUCGUGAGAUGUUGGGUUAAGUCCCGCAACGAGCGCAACCCUUGCCUUUAGUUGCCAGCAGUUCGGCUGGGCACUCUAAAGGGACUGCCGGUGUCAAACCGGAGGAAGGUGGGGAUGACGUCAAAUCAUCAUGCCCCUUAUGUCCUGGGCUACACACGUACUACAAUGGCUGUUACAGAGGGUAGCUAUACCGCGAGGGGGAGCCAAUCCCUAAAGGCAGCCCCAGUUCGGAUUGCAGGCUGAAACUCGCCUGCAUGAAGUCGGAAUUGCUAGUAAUGGCAGGUCAGCAUACUGCCGUGAAUACGUUCCCGGGCCUUGUACUCACCGCCCGUCAAG
RNAcentral lists this ribosomal RNA (1399 nucleotides) under uncultured bacterium. RNAcentral's name for it is "partial 16S ribosomal RNA". It matches the Rfam family "Bacterial small subunit ribosomal RNA". The record is from RNAcentral.